RNAcentral lists this ribosomal RNA (301 nucleotides) under uncultured bacterium. RNAcentral's name for it is "partial 16S ribosomal RNA". It matches the Rfam family "Bacterial small subunit ribosomal RNA", at positions 512 to 810 of the family's 1533-position model. The record is from RNAcentral.
CUCGCCGCGGUAACACGUAUGUCACAAGCGUUAUCCGGAUUUAUUGGGCGUAAAGCGCGUCUAGGUGGUUAUGUAAGUCUGAUGUGAAAAUGCAGGGCUCAACUCUGUAUUGCGUUGGAAACUGUGUAACUAGAGUACUGGAGAGGUAAGCGGAACUACAAGUGUAGAGGUGAAAUUCGUAGAUAUUUGUAGGAAUGCCGAUGGGGAAGCCAGCUUACUGGACAGAUACUGACGCUGAAGCGCGAAAGCGUGGGUAGCAAACAGGAUUAGAUACCCCCGUAGUCCCUGUCUCUUAUACACA